Molecule: RNA transcript, 1952 nt
Organism: Myxocyprinus asiaticus (Chinese sucker)
Lineage: Eukaryota; Metazoa; Chordata; Actinopteri; Cypriniformes; Catostomidae
Gene name: PITH domain-containing protein 1
Exons: 7
Source: RefSeq, a predicted model, not a curated record
UUAUUUACCUCGGUCAACCUUAUUUGUCAGUGGCCUUUAAUCUGUAUUAUUCAUUUAUAUCCACUAAAUGAUUUCUCACUGUCGUGUAUACUUUAUUAUAUUAACCGCAGAUGAAGCAUUACACUUUUAUUUACGAUAAAGGGAAGCGACCAAUCAGACGUUAAUACGCCACGAGAAGGCGACUCCAAACUCCAUUCCUAAUUGGCUCCUCUGUUUUUAAUGGUCCAAUCACAUUCCAUGUUCGUAUUCACAUGUUGUGUACUUCUACCACUUCUACUCUGCUUGUGCCAGUGUACGAGGGGUUUAUGUUGUAUUUUACCAUACGUGACAGAAUCCAGUUAAUCUGUCGUACAUUGCACUGCGUUUAGAGGAGUCGUCUGCAGCUGCGAGUGUUUUGGCACUUUUUUCGGUAUUCAUUCGUUCAAAGUGCAAGUUCACGCCAUGUCUGGACACGGUCACGGCGGCGGACACCGUCACGGUUGCUGUGAAUGCGAUCACGAGCCCGCUGAGCGAGGAGUGGAAUAUGAGCUGUACAGACGCAUUGAUAUAGAGAAGCUUCAGUGCUUGAAUGAGAGCCGAGACGGAGACGGUAAACUGGUGUUCAAGCCGUGGGAUCAACGCACUGACAGGGCGAAGUUUGUUGAAAGUGAUGCUGACGAGGAACUUCUGUUUAAUAUACCGUUUACAGGUAGUGUGAAGCUGAAGGGAAUCAUUAUUUCUGGGGAAGAUGAUGAGUCACACCCAGCUGAAAUUAGACUGUACAAGAACAUACCCCAGAUGUCAUUUGAUGACACCAGCAGAGAGCCAGAACAAGCGUUUCGUCUAAACAGGGAUCCACUGGCUGAACUUGAGUAUCCAACCAAAAUUGCCAGAUUCUCCAACGUGCAGCACUUAUCUGUUCACAUAUCUCGGAACUUUGGGGCAGAAUCCACUCGUGUGUAUUACAUUGGGCUACGGGGAGAGUUUACAGAGAGGCCACUGUUAUAUUGUUGAACCAAGCUGCUCCAACUGUAGAAUCCUCCAUCUAUCAUGACACCGGCGACAGAGGAAUAUAAACUAUGCAUAUAACUGAUAGUUCCAAAAAGCAACCACUGGGACCGAUUAAUCGGCUCACAGGCAUGAGGUUACAAUCUGUAACUAUGAGGCAGCAGCCAACCCAGCAGAUCACAAAGUGGAGAGCAUUACUCCGCAGACACAGUUCAUAUCAUGACAAAUUAAGGAGAGAGAAUCUCGUGCUUACUGUGUGAAACACUAAAAGUGUGCAUGAAUUUUGAUAACAGUGAGAUGUUGAACUAAGAGUCUUUAUAGGCUUUUCUUUGAUGUGUUAACAUGGAUUUGACUAUUUACGAGGUUUUGGUCAUCUGCAAUUCUGCUAAUGUGCCAAUAAACAUUAAGAUAUAUGCAUUAUUUAUUAAUUAGUUUAUGCCUAUGUCAAAUAAACAAAAUUUCCUUGAACUAAGAGAAUGCAACAGAUGAGCGGUGUAAGAAAUCUGUUUUCUAUAAAGAAAAUAAUUGAAGAACGCCAUUUAGUGGAUAUCUUGCGGGUUGGAUUUACAACAUCUUUAUUCAUUCUCUUCAUAUAUUUUUGCAUUGUAAAAAGGGCGAGUGGCAGUUUCGAAUCGCGUCAGUUGCUUCAUAUGUUUAAUUUAGACAAUUAAAUUUUAAUUCAAAUGUAUGACUUCACACAAGUUGCUUUAACUGAAUUUGAGAAACAUUUCAAGCCCUCUAUUACAUAGAAAAUAGUUUUUUGUACAGAGUCACACUACAAAAAAAAUCACUAACAUUGCCAGAGAAAAUCAGUCAAUGUCAUUUACAAAAUGUGUGAAAUUUUUGUUUACAGAGAGCCCGUCUUUCUUGUGUAUAAGGUUUUUGCUCACUAUAAUUACUAACUGUACAAUAUGUACUACUACACAUUUUAAAAUAGCAUCUUUUAAAUAAAAUAUCACAUCAAA